RNAcentral lists this ribosomal RNA (494 nucleotides) under uncultured bacterium. Its description in RNAcentral is "partial 16S ribosomal RNA". It matches the Rfam family "Bacterial small subunit ribosomal RNA", at positions 28 to 506 of the family's 1533-position model. The record is from RNAcentral.
GACGAACGCUGGCGGCGUGCCUAAUACAUGCAAGUAGAACGCUGAAGGAGGAGCUUGCUUCUCUGGAUGAGUUGCGAACGGGUGAGUAACGCGUAGGUAACCUGCCUGGUAGCGGGGGAUAACUAUUGGAAACGAUAGCUAAUACCGCAUAAUAGUAGAUGUUGCAUGACAUUUGCUUAAAAGGUGCAAUUGCAUCACUACCAGAUGGACCUGCGUUGUAUUAGCUAGUUGGUGGGGUAACGGCUCACCAAGGCGACGAUACAUAGCCGACCUGAGAGGGUGAUCGGCCACACUGGGACUGAGACACGGCCCAGACUCCUACGGGAGGCAGCAGUAGGGAAUCUUCGGCAAUGGACGGAAGUCUGACCGAGCAACGCCGCGUGAGUGAAGAAGGUUUUCGGAUCGUAAAGCUCUGUUGUAAGAGAAGAACGAGUGUGAGAGUGGAAAGUUCACACUGGGACGGAAUCUUACCAGAAAGGAACGGCGAACUACGG